GUGCGGGCAUGAAUUUAACCGCUGAAUGAGUGAAAUUAGAUUAUUUACGAAAUAAAUCGAUAUGCAAUCUCAAAUUGAAUGCAAACUAAUUAAAACGCAUCCCCUUAUUAUACUCGAUAAAAUCGAAAAAUACACAAGAUUAUACAGAUAUUUUGGCUUAUGUCGCAAAAACAAACCCUAUAUUUUGCAAAGAACUUUAUCUUACAUGAGAAGAAGAAAUAAAACAAAACCCUAUGUGAAAAAUAAAAAAUCUUUUGAUUCUCUAUUGGGACUAUUAUAUCAGCG
This is a long non-coding RNA of Gordionus sp. m RMFG-2023, 285 nucleotides long. RefSeq lists it as uncharacterized. Lineage: Eukaryota; Metazoa; Nematomorpha; Gordioida; Chordodea; Parachordodidae. The record is from RefSeq and is a predicted model, not a curated record. The transcript is spliced from 4 exons.